UUGGCUCAGGAUGAACGCUGGCGGCGUGCUUAACACAUGCAAGUCGAACGGAACUGAUCAAUCGAAGCAGACGGUGCUUGCACCUGACGCUUCACCCGAUUAGUUAGUGGCGGACGGGUGAGUAACGCGUGAGCAACCAACCUUUUGCAGUGGGACAACAAUUAGAAAUGAUUGCUAAUACCGCAUAAGACCACAGCGUCACAUGGCGCAGUGAGAAAAGCUCCGGCGGCAAGAGACGGGCUCGCGUUCGAUUAGCUAGAUGGUGAGGUAACGGCCCACCAUGGCGACGAUCGAUAGCCGGACUGAGAGGUCGACCGGCCACAUUGGGACUGAGACACGGCCCAGACUCCUACGGGAGGCAGUAGUGGGGAAUAUUGCACAAUGGGGGAAACCCUGAUGCAGCGACGCCGCGUGGGUGAUGAAGUAUUUCGGUAUGUAAAGCCCUUUUAGCAGGGAAGAAAUUGACGGUACCUGCAGAAACAGCCCCGGCUAACUACGUGCCAGCCGCGGC
This 511-nucleotide ribosomal RNA is filed under the name uncultured bacterium. RNAcentral describes it as "bacterial SSU rRNA". It matches the Rfam family "Bacterial small subunit ribosomal RNA", at positions 19 to 518 of the family's 1533-position model. The record is from RNAcentral.